GUUUCCGUAGUGUAGUGGUUAUCACGUUUGCCUAUCACGCGUAAGGUCCCCGGUUCGAGACCGGGCGGAAACA
Molecule: transfer RNA, 73 nt
Filed under: Gadus morhua (Atlantic cod)
Lineage: Eukaryota; Metazoa; Chordata; Actinopteri; Gadiformes; Gadidae
Also listed under: 1 other name
Description: tRNA-Asp (ATC) (tRNA-Asp-ATC-1-1)
Rfam family: tRNA
About the family: Transfer RNA (tRNA) molecules are approximately 80 nucleotides in length. Their secondary structure includes four short double-helical elements and three loops (D, anti-codon, and T loops).
Source: RNAcentral